AGGUAGCAAAGUUAUUCUCUGUCCAGGGGCUUCUACUGCUUCCUUAUAUUCACCUAACUGUCUCUGAUGUAAGAUUAAGAACUGGAAUGUGUCUUCCGGAAGGAACACUAAAAGGAUCUGAAGACACCAGGGAUGCAUGCACAGAGGAAAGACCAUGCGAGGAUACGACAGGAAGGCGCCCAUCUGCAAGCCAAGUGGAGAGGCCUCAGAAGAAACCAAACCUGCCGACUGACACCUUAAUCUCGGACUUCCAGGCUCCAGCUAACGAGCAAAUAAAUUUCUGUUAUUUAA
Mirounga angustirostris (Northern elephant seal) is the source of this 291-nucleotide long non-coding RNA. RefSeq lists it as uncharacterized. NCBI's taxonomy places the organism in Eukaryota, Metazoa, Chordata, Mammalia, Carnivora, Phocidae. The transcript has 3 exons. The record is from RefSeq and is a predicted model, not a curated record.